This 490-nucleotide ribosomal RNA is filed under the name uncultured bacterium. RNAcentral describes it as "partial 16S ribosomal RNA". It matches the Rfam family "Bacterial small subunit ribosomal RNA", at positions 30 to 507 of the family's 1533-position model. The record is from RNAcentral.
AUUGAACGCUGGCGGCAGGCCUAACACAUGCAAGUCGAACGGUAACAGGAAGCAGCUUGCUGCUUCGCUGACGAGUGGCGGACGGGUGAGUAAUGUCUGGGAAACUGCCUGAUGGAGGGGGAUAACUACUGGAAACGGUAGCUAAUACCGCAUAACGUCGCAAGACAAAAGAGGGGGACCUUAGGGCCUCUUGCCAUCGGAUGUGCCCAGAUGGGAUUAGCUAGUAGGUGGGGUAACGGCUCACCUAGGCGACGAUCCCUAGCUGGUCUGAGAGGAUGACCAGCCACACUGGAACUGAGACACGGUCCAGACUCCUACGGGAGGCAGCAGUGGGGAAUAUUGCACAAUGGGCGCAAGCCUGAUGCAGCCAUGCCGCGUGUAUGAAGAAGGCCUUCGGGUUGUAAAGUACUUUCAGCGGGGAGGAAGGGAGUAAAGUUAAUACCUUUGCUCAUUGACGUUACCCGCAGAAGAAGCACCGGCUAACUCCGUG